GCGUUAAUCGGAAUUACUGGGCGUAAAGCGUACGCAGGCGGCUUUGCAAGACAGGUGUGAAAUCCCCGGGCCUAACCUGGGAACUGCAUUUGUGACUGCAUGGCUAGAGUUUGUCAGAGGGGGGUGGAAUUCCACGUGUAGCAGUGAAAUGCGUAGAUAUGUGGAGGAACACCGAUGGCGAAGGCAGCCCCCUGGGAUGUGACUGACGCUCAUGUACGAAAGCGUG
RNAcentral lists this ribosomal RNA (226 nucleotides) under uncultured bacterium. Its description in RNAcentral is "partial 16S ribosomal RNA". It matches the Rfam family "Bacterial small subunit ribosomal RNA", at positions 538 to 763 of the family's 1533-position model. The record is from RNAcentral.